AGAAAACCUCCGUUUUAUUAUGGCCAGUUCCGUAGCUUUCAUCAUUCUGUGGAAAAUCGAAGAAGCCCAGAGACGAAGAGAAGAUACACAGAAACACAUUGCAAGCGCACCGUCUCAUUUCUGUGUCUCUUGUCUUCACCUCAAUUGCGCUGCCGUAUGGGCCAACUCACCCAAAGCAACGUUUUAUUGCAUCACUCAUCGCGUUAAGCACGCUCGCUAAUUUUGGUAGGCUGACGUGACCUCAUAGAUUAUUGCAUGCCUGUUUU
This 266-nucleotide long non-coding RNA is filed under the name Dermacentor andersoni. RNAcentral describes it as "uncharacterized LOC126517569". Lineage: Eukaryota; Metazoa; Arthropoda; Arachnida; Ixodida; Ixodidae. The record is from RNAcentral.